AAAAAUAUAUGUGAAUAAAUGAAAUAGGUAUAUUUUUUCAUGCAUAUGUGAAGAAGAAAGAUACUCAAUGUGCUCUUUAGGAGUAAAAAAAUCACGAUAUAAACAGAUAUAAUGUUACUGCAGAAAACUUUGAAACUUUUAAGAAAAGUUCCAGGAUGAAAUGUUGUUAUGAACUGUUAAACUCCACUCUCUACUCACUGCUCUGUGACUUCUGGAGAACAAUUUAAUGGCCAUAGAUGAAACAGGAGGAACCUAAGAAUUUGAAAGCAAGUAACGCAAACUUCUAUCAUUUUGCCAGGUGCGUUGAGAGAGAAGCCUUCAGGGUUAAACCCUGAGUGCAGCUAUAUCAGGAAAACCCCACACUUCCCUGAUUCCUUCUACUGAAAGCACAGUCCAUUUAUUUACACAGUAAAUUCAGGAUACAACUGAAACUCUAAAUUUUGAAGGUUAGUUCGCAAGCCAUGUUCUGUAACAGCUAUGGCUCUCUCUGAUGACCUCAUGGCUUCCUUUGAAAUCCUUUCAACUAAACCCAUUUCAGUUCUCGACAAUCUGUACUACAUAUGCCAUAAAGCACAUUCAGGGAGCAAGAGGCUGUAGAAAGAACAAGGAAUUUCCAGAGUUGGAGGGGGCGGGGGGAAUUCCAAGAAUAACACUUCAAAAAGAAGAUAGUAGAAACUACUUCCCAAAAUGCAAAAUGCACACAUCAUGCCUCAUUUGAAUCCAGAUAAUUCAGUUUGAGGAUCAAUUAAGGAACACCUACUGUGCCUAGGGAAAGAAAAGGGCAUUGGAGGACAAACAGCACCCUGUGGGCUACAGUCUGAGAAGGGCCGGUGAGCCUUCCUCUCUACCUUCAGGGAGUACUUCUACCGUAGAGCAUUCUAUAUGCUCUCAGAAGCCGUUUCUCUGGCUCUGGGCACAGCCUUGAUCUCCGUCACACUUCAAGCCAGCGUUGUGGAAUCCUUCCAAAUCCUGCCUGGAACGGUUAAGUCAUUUUGUUUGCAUCGCUUCUAAUGCAUGUUGUUGUUUGAAAAAUCUGAACUGUAAUAAAAGAUGGAAGCCAACAUCCUCAAGGAACAGGAGAGAUUACUGAGCUCGUCCACCUCUUUGAGGGAAAGCUAUAAAACAUCCCCUUUUUGUGCGAUGACAAACCUCUCUUUUAGAAAUCUGUAUCAGAUACAAAAUUAAAUUAAAAAUCAAAUAUCCCCCCCAAUAAAGAUGAUGAAAAGUGCACAAGGAA
Molecule: long non-coding RNA, 1237 nt
Organism: Suricata suricatta (meerkat)
Lineage: Eukaryota; Metazoa; Chordata; Mammalia; Carnivora; Herpestidae
Exons: 2
Source: RefSeq, a predicted model, not a curated record